UGGGGAAUCUUGCGCAAUGGGCGAAAGCCUGACGCAGCAACGCCGCGUGAGGGAAGACGGCUUUCGGGUUGUAAACCUCUUUCAGCAGGGACGAAAAUGACGGUACCUGCAGAAGAAGCCCCGGCCAACUACGUGCCAGCAGCCGCGGUAACACGUAGGGGGCGAGCGUUGUCCGGAUUUAUUGGGCGUAAAGAGCUCGUAGGCGGCUCGGCAAGUCGGAUGUGAAAUUCCAGGGCUCAACCCUGGAACGCCAUUCGAUACUGCUGUGGCUAGAGUCCGGUAGGGGAGCGUGGAACUCCUGGUGUAGCGGUGAAAUGCGCAGAUAUCAGGAAGAACACCAGCGGCGAAGGCGGCGCUCUGGGCCGGUACUGACGCUGAGGAGCGAAAGCGUGGGGAUCAAACAGGAUUAGAUACCCCCGUAGUCC
This 425-nucleotide ribosomal RNA is filed under the name uncultured prokaryote. RNAcentral's name for it is "bacterial SSU rRNA". It matches the Rfam family "Bacterial small subunit ribosomal RNA", at positions 355 to 796 of the family's 1533-position model. The record is from RNAcentral.